RNAcentral lists this unclassified non-coding RNA (512 nucleotides) under Hevea brasiliensis (rubber tree). Lineage: Eukaryota; Viridiplantae; Streptophyta; Magnoliopsida; Malpighiales; Euphorbiaceae. The record is from RNAcentral.
GUAUCUGCCACCACUGGCCUCGUUAUAAUAAACAUUGAUACGCUCAAGCUGAAGUUCAGAGUCGCCGCUGUACUUUCCAAUGUUGUCAAUGCCAUGCUCGUCGCAAAUCACCUCCCAGAACUUAGCUCCGAUCUGGUUACCGCAUUGGCCACCUUGGAUGUGGAGGAUUUCUCUCAUUUCUACCUGGAAAUCGAGUUUUCUUCUUGUUCUUGAAUUGGGUUUUCUCUAGUUUUUCUUGGGAAACAGAGGGAAAGUGCGGAAAAGGAGAAAUUUAUGGGGUUGGAGUAGAAAAUACGGAAGAAGGGGGAAUGAGUGGUAUAUAAAAAGGUGGGAUUUUUUGGGGUAUCAAACUGUAAAAUUAAAAAAUUUUGAUGGAGUGAGUUGUAAAAAAGGGUUGAGGCUUUCACUGGACCAAAAUUGUCUAAAGUUAGUCCCAACAAUUUUUUAUUGUUUUGUGGAUGGGGAUUUUGUGAUUGCAAGGAAUUGAGUUAUUUUUAGGGUUUGCAAUUUGC